This 319-nucleotide long non-coding RNA is filed under the name Homo sapiens (human). Its description in RNAcentral is "non-protein coding lnc-TEPP-2:1". Lineage: Eukaryota; Metazoa; Chordata; Mammalia; Primates; Hominidae. The record is from RNAcentral.
ACAUCAUCGCUCAUCUUUCCAUUGCCGGUUCCCUGACUAGAAUGAAUGUUCUGCCACUGUGGAAAGGAAUGAGGAAGCUGACUCUGCACUGAUAGACAAUGAUUUCCGGGUUUUGUCGUCAUGUGGAAACAAAGCAAAGUACAAGAAUCUACAGCAUGCCAUAUUUUGUGUAAGAAAGAAGAAGAAAUAAGAAAAUGUUUGGGCUGGGUGUGGUGGCUCACACCUGUAAUCCCAGAAUUUUGGGAGGCAGAAGCGGGCAGAUCACCUGAGGUGAGAAGUUCGAGACAAGCCUGGCCAACGUGGCAAAGCCCCAUCUCUA